Molecule: ribosomal RNA, 430 nt
Filed under: uncultured bacterium
Lineage: Bacteria
Description: bacterial SSU rRNA
Rfam family: Bacterial small subunit ribosomal RNA
Source: RNAcentral
GUGGGGAAUCUUGCGCAAUGGGGGAAACCCUGACGCAGCAACGCCGCGUGAGCGAUGAAGGCCUUCGGGUUGUAAAGCUCUGUCAGGAGGGAAGAAAAGGUCCGGUUGAAUAGGCCGGGCUGUUGACGGUACCUCCAAAGGAAGCCCCGGCUAACUCCGUGCCAGCAGCCGCGGUAAUACGGAGGGGGCGAGCGUUGUUCGGAAUUAUUGGGCGUAAAGAGCACGUAGGCGGCGCGGUAAGUCUUGUGUGAAAGCCCUCGGCUCAACCGAGGAAGUGCACCGGAAACUGCCGUGCUUGAGUACGGGAGAGGAGAGUGGAAUUCCCGGUGUAGCGGUGAAAUGCGUAGAUAUCGGGAAGAACACCAGUGGCGAAGGCGGCUCUCUGGACCGUUACUGACGCUGAGGUGCGAAAGCUGGGGGAGCGAACGGG